Molecule: long non-coding RNA, 1123 nt
Organism: Populus euphratica (Euphrates poplar)
Lineage: Eukaryota; Viridiplantae; Streptophyta; Magnoliopsida; Malpighiales; Salicaceae
Exons: 2
Source: RefSeq, a predicted model, not a curated record
UUUUUUCCCUUUCCCACCAUUUCAUAGAAUUUAAAUUUAAAAAUAAUUAUUUUUACACGCAACACAGAAUGUUAGUGGUUUCAUAAGCACUCUGUUCAUAAUGUGUCUGGAGAAAGAUCAGGUAAAUAGUUUAAUAUACCGAGUCCUCGGCCUGUAAGAGGAAGUAUGGAAGAAGUUUUGACAAUUAUUGGUAGACCUUAAUUGGGACAAAAUGCAGCAUAUAAUUCCAAGGAAAAGACUUCAUAUAUGCAGGGAAGUCACAUAUCCUUCAUGGAAUCCCUACGAGGAUGCACUACAACUCUAAGGAUAUAGAGGAUAAUCAUCUAAAAGACAACCACAUACAACACUCAUACACAGGACAAGCAAUAGCAGAAAUAUUUACCAGGCCUUGAGGAAUAUUGGCUUUAAUUUGUGUCAUGGAAAAAGGUGGGUUCUGAGAUCCUAGAUAAAUUCAGUUUCUAAAAUUUUGUUACAGUGAUGCAUCCAGCUCAACUCUGUUAUCAAGAAGAAAUCAUUAGAUGAGCAUGGCUAACCAUUAGCCCACACAAACAAGGGGGGAGUCCCAGAAUCACUUUAAGUGUGGUCCAAUGGUGAGCUUACCUCACCUAGUAAUUUUCCUCGCUGAGGAUCUAUCAUAAGAACCUUGAGGUUGCAUGAUCAACAGCCAUUAGCUCAAGAUCUAGACACCAAAUCAUUUAAGCUAUUCCCAUGGUAAAAUCACAGAAAAAAACAGUUCACCACAUGCAUCUACUGAGACGGUACAGAUAUAAUUCCCUGAUCAUCAACUAACAUUCCAUAUAAUUCACUAAAACAUAUUUCUCCCAUCCUAACACUUAGGCAAGCCUGACAAAUCUACAUCAUAUAGAUUCCUUCGAAGUUUCAAAACUAAUGCUGUUUGACUCAUAAAGGAGCAACGUUGGAAAUGUUAAAUCCAACCCAUGACAGAAAAGCUAUUUUUUCAUAAUUCAAUUAAGCUCCUGUUAAUAAAACAUAGUUCUUCUAAUAGUUGAUGACUAAGUGAGGCAAUACAUUAGUCUAUAAUGAUUCACUGUGCAACUAAGGUAUAGGUAACAGUAAAAAUAUAGUACAUAGUAUAAAUCAGUGAUUCGUGUAGCAGUUAGGG